GACGAACGCUGGCGGCGUGCUUAACACAUGCAAGUCGAACGGUGAAGCGAGUGCUUGCACUCGUGGAUCAGUGGCGAACGGGUGAGUAACACGUGAGUAACCUGCCCAUCACUCUGGGAUAAGCACUGGAAACGGUGUCUAAUACUGGAUACGACCAACCCUUGCAUGGGUGUUGGUGGAAAGAUUUAUCGGUGAUGGAUGGACUCGCGGCCUAUCAGCUUGUUGGCGGGGUAAUGGCCCACCAAGGCGACGACGGGUAGCCGGCCUGAGAGGGUGACCGGCCACACUGGGACUGAGACACGGCCCAGACUCCUACGGGAGGCAGCAGUGGGGAAUAUUGCACAAUGGGCGAAAGCCUGAUGCAGCGACGCCGCGUGAGGGAUGACGGCCUUCGGGUUGUAAACCUCUUUCAGCAGGGAAGAAGCGAAAGUGACGGUACCUGCAGAAGAAGCACCGGCUAACUACGUG
This 468-nucleotide ribosomal RNA is filed under the name uncultured bacterium. RNAcentral's name for it is "partial 16S ribosomal RNA". It matches the Rfam family "Bacterial small subunit ribosomal RNA", at positions 28 to 507 of the family's 1533-position model. The record is from RNAcentral.